RNAcentral lists this ribosomal RNA (380 nucleotides) under uncultured crenarchaeote. Its description in RNAcentral is "bacterial SSU rRNA". It matches the Rfam family "Archaeal small subunit ribosomal RNA", at positions 471 to 851 of the family's 1478-position model. Lineage: Archaea; Thermoproteati; Thermoproteota. The record is from RNAcentral.
UAAAACCAGCACCUCAAGUGGUCAGGAUGAUUAUUGGGCCUAAAGCAUCCGUAGCCGGCUCUGUAAGUUUUCGGUUAAAUCUGUACGCUCAACGUACAGGCUGCCGGGAAUACUGCAGAGCUAGGGAGUGGGAGAGGUAGACGGUACUCGGGAGGAAGUGGUAAAAUGCUUUGAUCUCUCGAUGACCACCUGUGGCGAAGGCGGUCUACCAGAACACGUCCGACGGUGAGGGAUGAAAGCUGGGGGAGCAAACCGGAUUAGAUACCCGGGUAGUCCCAGCUGUAAGCUAUGCAAACUCAGUGAUGCAUUGGCUUGUGGCCAAUGCAGUGUUGCAGGGAAGCCGUUAAGUUUGCCGCCUGGGAAGUACGUACGCAAGUAUG